RNAcentral lists this ribosomal RNA (703 nucleotides) under Bremia lactucae (lettuce downy mildew). RNAcentral's name for it is "LSU rRNA". It matches the Rfam family "Eukaryotic large subunit ribosomal RNA", at positions 87 to 628 of the family's 3401-position model. Lineage: Eukaryota; Oomycota; Peronosporomycetes; Peronosporales; Peronosporaceae. The record is from RNAcentral.
CGGCGAGUGAAGCGGGAUGAGCUCAAGCUUAAAAUCUCCGUGCAAAAUUUGCAUGGCGAAUUGUAGUCUAUAGAGGCGUGAUUAGCGUAGGCACUUGGGGCAAGUUCCUUGGAAGAGGACAGCAUUGAGGGUGAUACUCCCGUUCCCUCCCGAGUUGCUUAUGCGUAUAAUCCGUUUUCUUUGAGUCGCGUUGUUUGAGAAUGCAGCGCAAAGUAGGUGGUAAAUUCCAUCUAAAGCUAAAUAUUGGUGCGAGACCGAUAGCAAACAAGUACCGUGAGGGAAAGAUGAAAAGAACUUUGAAAAGAGAGUUAAAGAGUACCUGAAACUGCUGAAAGGGAACCAAAUCGUUUCCAGUAUCUAUAAUCCGCGGUAUAUUUCAUUGGCGAAUGUGUGCGUGCAUGUACUAUGGCAGCGGCUUUUUGCUGCGCCUUGUGUGUGUUUCGCAUUUUCUCGCUGGUGCCCUGUACUGUGGUGGGACGUCAAUGUCGGUUCGUAUGCUGCGGGAAAUGACUGCCGAGGAGGUAGGGCGAACGCUUGCGUUUGUCUGUUACAUCUGGGCGGACUUAGUAGUCGUGGUUGGGACUGAGGUGCCUAUAAUGUGCUUAUGAGUGGGAUCGAAUCUCCAUGUGCGCCGUGUGCGGAUAGCUUGCUAUGCGUGUGUAGCUGUGUGUGGAUUGAGUCGAGACGUAACUUAUUGCCGUUC